Pelobates cultripes (western spadefoot toad) is the source of this 228-nucleotide non-coding RNA. Lineage: Eukaryota; Metazoa; Chordata; Amphibia; Anura; Pelobatidae. The record is from the annotation of a GenBank genome assembly.
GUCAUAAAUAAGAGGUAAGAAUAUGAAUGUCAUUGUGUGUGUUAAUAUAUGUGUGUCAAUGCAAAUCUGUGAAUGAGUGUCAGUGGGAAUCUGUAUAGCUGCCAGUGUGUUAAUGUGUCUUGAUGUGUGUUAAUGUGUCUUGGUGUGUGUAUCUAUGUAUGUUUGCUCGUGUAUAUGUGUGUGUAUGAGCCUGUUGCUAACUAGGUUGAGGUACAUGGCAAGUUCUGU